GAUGAACGCUAGCGGCAGGCCUAACACAUGCAAGUCGUGGGGCAGCGAGGGUAGCAAUACCUGUCGGCGACCGGCGCACGGGUGAGUAUCGCGUAUGCAACCUUCCUCUAACUGGGACAUAGCCCGGCGAAAGUCGGAUUAAUUUCCCAUAACAUCACGAAAGGGCAUCUGAUUGUGAUUAAAGCUCCGGCGGUUAGAGAUGGGCAUGCGUGCCAUUAGUUUGUUGGUGAGGUAACGGCUCACCAAGGCUCCGAUGGCUAGGGGGUCUGAGAGGAUGAUCCCCCACACUGGUACUGAGACACGGACCAGACUCCUACGGGUGGCAG
This 326-nucleotide ribosomal RNA is filed under the name uncultured Bacteroidota bacterium. RNAcentral's name for it is "bacterial SSU rRNA". It matches the Rfam family "Bacterial small subunit ribosomal RNA", at positions 28 to 351 of the family's 1533-position model. Lineage: Bacteria; Pseudomonadati; Bacteroidota. The record is from RNAcentral.